GUGGACGCCAGUCUGCAUGGAGCCGACCUUGAAAUACCACCCUUUAAUGUUUGAUGUUCUAACGUGGACCCGUGAUCCGGGUUGCGGACAGUGUCUGGUGGGUAGUUUGACUGGGGCGGUCUCCUCCUAAAGAGUAACGGAGGAGCACGAAGGUUGGCUAAUCUUGGUCGGACAUCAGGAGGUUAGUGCAAUGGCAUAAGCCAGCUUGACUGCGAGCGUGACGGCGCGAGCAGGUGCGAAAGCAGGUCAUAGUGAUCCGGUGGUUCUGAAUGGAAGGGCCAUCGCUCAACGGAUAAAAGGUACUCCGGGGAUAACAGGCUGAUACCGCCCAAGAGUUCAUAUCGACGGCGGUGUUUGGCACCUCGAUGUCGGCUCAUCACAUCCUGGGGCUGAAGUAGGUCCCAAGGGUAUGGCUGUUCGCCAUUUAAAGUGGUACGCGAGCUGGGUUUAGAACGUCGUGAGACAGUUCGGUCCCUAUCUGCCGUGGGCGCUGGAGAACUGAGGGGGGCUGCUCCUAGUACGAGAGGACCGGAGUGGACGCAUCACUGGUGUUCGGGUUGUCAUGCCAAUGGCACUGCCCGGUAGCUAAAUGCGGAAGAGAUAAGUGCUGAAAGCAUCUAAGCACGAAACUUGCCCCGAGAUGAGUUCUCCCUGAGACUUUAGGUCUCCUGAAGGAACGUUGAAGACGACGACGUUGAUAGGCCGGGUGUGUAAGCGCAGCGAUGCGUUGAGCUAACCGGUACUAAUGAACCGUGAGGCUUAACCUUACAACGCCGAAG
This 779-nucleotide ribosomal RNA is filed under the name Salmonella enterica. RNAcentral describes it as "partial 23S ribosomal RNA". It matches the Rfam family "Bacterial large subunit ribosomal RNA", at positions 2164 to 2925 of the family's 2925-position model. Lineage: Bacteria; Pseudomonadati; Pseudomonadota; Gammaproteobacteria; Enterobacterales; Enterobacteriaceae. The record is from RNAcentral.